UAGGGAAUCUUCCACAAUGGGCGCAAGCCUGAUGGAGCGACACCGCGUGAGUGAAGAAGGGUUUCGGCUCGUAAAGCUCUGUUGUUGAAGAAGAACGUGCGUGAGAGUAACUGUUCAUGCAGUGACGGUAUUCAACCAGAAAGUCACGGCUAACUACGUGCCAGCAGCCGCGGUAAUACGUAGGUGGCAAGCGUUAUCCGGAUUUAUUGGGCGUAAAGCGAGCGCAGGCGGUUUUCUAAGUCUGAUGUGAAAGCCUUCGGCUUAACCGAAGAAGGGCAUCGGAAACUGGAUGACUUGAGUGCAGAAGAGGGCAGUGGAACUCCAUGUGUAGCGGUGGAAUGCGUAGAUAUAUGGAAGAACACCAGUGGCGAAGGCGGCUGCCUAGUCUGCAACUGACGCUGAGGCUCGAAAGCAUGGGUGGCGAACAGG
Molecule: ribosomal RNA, 429 nt
Filed under: uncultured bacterium
Lineage: Bacteria
Description: bacterial SSU rRNA
Rfam family: Bacterial small subunit ribosomal RNA
Source: RNAcentral